This 88-nucleotide transfer RNA is filed under the name Paludisphaera mucosa. RNAcentral's name for it is "tRNA-Ser". It matches the Rfam family "tRNA". Rfam says of the family: Transfer RNA (tRNA) molecules are approximately 80 nucleotides in length. Their secondary structure includes four short double-helical elements and three loops (D, anti-codon, and T loops). The record is from RNAcentral. Lineage: Bacteria; Pseudomonadati; Planctomycetota; Planctomycetia; Isosphaerales; Isosphaeraceae.
GGAAGGCAGCCGGAUACGGUUGGCCGGGCCUCCUUGCUAAGGAGUGCGCCCUCUUCGGGGCGUGAGGGUUCGAAUCCCUCGCCUUCCG